AUACGUAGGGUGCGAGCGUUGUCCGGAAUUACUGGGCGUAAAGAGCUCGUAGGUGGUUUGUCGCGUCGUCUGUGAAAUUCCGGGGCUUAACUCCGGGCGUGCAGGCGAUACGGGCAUAACUUGAGUACUGUAGGGGUGACUGGAAUUCCUGGUGUAGCGGUGAAAUGCGCAGAUAUCAGGAGGAACACCGGUGGCGAAGGCGGGUCUCUGGGCAGUAACUGACGCUGAGGAGCGAAAGCAUGGGUAGCGAACAGGAUUAGAUACCCUGGUAGUCCAUGCCGUAAACGGUGGGCGCUAGGUGUAGGGGUCUUCCACGACUUCUGUGCCGUAGCUAACGCAUUAAGCGCCCCGCCUGGGGAGUACGGCCGCAAGGCUAAAACUCAAAGGAAUUGACGGGG
RNAcentral lists this ribosomal RNA (398 nucleotides) under uncultured bacterium. RNAcentral's name for it is "partial 16S ribosomal RNA". It matches the Rfam family "Bacterial small subunit ribosomal RNA", at positions 523 to 918 of the family's 1533-position model. The record is from RNAcentral.